GGAUGCCGCCGGCCGCCGGGGGCCUUCUCCAGGACCAGGAGAGAAAUCCUCUCUCCGCUUCACGACGCGGCCACUCCCACCCCUGAGACGCCCACCUGGCGGACUCUGAGGGAGGAUUCGGCUGCGUCUAAUACCACCUCCACCCCUCAUCCCUCACAAUGCGCGGAAAACCACAGGCGGCUGUGCGCGCAGCGUCGGCUCAGCCACCGCAGCUCCUCCCCUGGGAUGAAAAAGCACUCUGACGUCUUGAAAGCUGGCAGCUCUCUGUUUGGAAAAUCUCUGCCCAGUGAAAAAAUGUACCGACAAGAUUACUAAGUAACACAGUCUUCUGGGAAUGCCUUAUCAAUGCCAGCUAUUUGAAGAGCACCCAAAGUCAAACUAGUGCUCCGCGCUGGCAGUCUGGAAAAGGCAGAUAUGAGAAAACUGAGCUGUAGAAAGGUUGCCUGACUUGUCUAAGAUAACACAGCUGGGAAGUUGAGGAGGCAGGUCUGACUGGUAUAAAAAACUCCAGCCCAGUGACUUCCAUACUACAAAAUGGACAAAAGAGAUCAGAAAGGUCACAUUUUAAACAUUCACAGAGACCAGGUCUAAGGUGAGUACACAGUGAUGACAAAGUUUUGUUGGGAAAGGCAGACGUUCUGCACCUGAUGCUACCUUAGUCCCUGCAAAGAGUCCUCACUUCCGUGACUAAGUGGAAAUCAGCUACAAUUACUUAAGCACGUCACUAAGGUUUUUGUAAAUAAAAAUUUCUGAAUAAGAAAAUUUGAUACAUUCUUCAGUUCUGGUGUUGUUACUAACGGUCUUAGUCAGUUUGAGCUGUGAUAACAAGUAUCCUAGACUGGGUGGCUUAAGCAACAGACACUUUGUUUCUCACAGUUCCAGAGGCUAGGAAGUCCAAGAUCAAGGUGUUGGCAGAUUCAGU
Molecule: long non-coding RNA, 922 nt
Filed under: Homo sapiens (human)
Lineage: Eukaryota; Metazoa; Chordata; Mammalia; Primates; Hominidae
Description: HSALNT0293703
Source: RNAcentral